This 504-nucleotide ribosomal RNA is filed under the name uncultured bacterium. RNAcentral describes it as "partial 16S ribosomal RNA". It matches the Rfam family "Bacterial small subunit ribosomal RNA", at positions 30 to 523 of the family's 1533-position model. The record is from RNAcentral.
AUUGAACGCUGGCGGCAGGCCUAACACAUGCAAGUCGAACGGUAGCACAGAGAGCUUGCUCUCGGGUGACGAGUGGCGGACGGGUGAGUAACGUCUGGGAAACUGCCCGAUGGAGGGGGAUAACUACUGGAAACGGUAGCUAAUACCGCAUAACGUCGCAAGACCAAAGUGGGGGACCUUCGGGCCUCACACCAUCGGAUGUGCCCAGAUGGGAUUAGCUAGUAGGUGGGGUAAUGGCUCACCUAGGCGACGAUCCCUAGCUGGUCUGAGAGGAUGACCAGCCACACUGGAACUGAGACACGGUCCAGACUCCUACGGGAGGCAGCAGUGGGGAAUAUUGCACAAUGGGCGCAAGCCUGAUGCAGCCAUGCCGCGUGUAUGAAGAAAGCCUUCGGGUUGUAAAGUACUUUCAGCGGGGAGGAAGGCGGUGAAGUUAAUAACUUCACCGGUUGACGUUACCCGCAGAAGAAGCACCGGCUAACUCCGUGCCAGCAGCCGCCGUAA